UGGUGAGUAUAGCUAUGGGGGUACACCUAGUUACAUUCCGAACCUAGAAGUUAAGCCCAUAUACGCUGAUGGUACUUGGCUGGAAGCGGCCUGGGAGAGUAUGGAUUUGCCAAGCU
This 116-nucleotide ribosomal RNA is filed under the name Fusobacterium periodonticum 2_1_31. Lineage: Bacteria; Fusobacteriati; Fusobacteriota; Fusobacteriia; Fusobacteriales; Fusobacteriaceae. RNAcentral also lists the same sequence under 4 other names. The record is from RNAcentral.